GCCUUCGUGGUGUAGUGGUCAGCACGCUCGACGCGUAUUCGAGAGGUCCGUGGUUCGAGUCCCGGCGAGGGUA
Molecule: transfer RNA, 73 nt
Filed under: Stegodyphus mimosarum
Lineage: Eukaryota; Metazoa; Arthropoda; Arachnida; Araneae; Eresidae
Rfam family: tRNA
About the family: Transfer RNA (tRNA) molecules are approximately 80 nucleotides in length. Their secondary structure includes four short double-helical elements and three loops (D, anti-codon, and T loops).
Source: Rfam by way of RNAcentral